AUUGAACGCUGGCGGCAUGCCUUACACAUGCAAGUCGAACGGCAGCACGGGUGCUUGCACCUGGUGGCGAGUGGCGAACGGGUGAGUAAUACAUCGGAACAUGUCCUGUAGUGGGGGAUAGCCCGGCGAAAGCCGGAUUAAUACCGCAUACGAUCUACGGAUGAAAGCGGGGGACCUUCGGGCCUCGCGCUAUAGGGUUGGCCGAUGGCUGAUUAGCUAGUUGGUGGGGUAAGGCCUACCAAGGCGACGAUCAGUAGCUGGUCUGAGAGGACGACCAGCCACACUGGGACUGAGACACGGCCCAGACUCCUACGGGAGGCAGCAGUGGGGAAUUUUGGACAAUGGGCGAAAGCCUGAUCCAGCAAUGCCGCGUGUGUGAAGAAGGCCUUCGGGUUGUAAAGCACUUUUGUCCGGAAAGAAAUCCUUGGCUCUAAUACAGUCGGGGGAUGACGGUACCGGAAGAAUAAGCACCGGCUAACUACGUG
This 485-nucleotide ribosomal RNA is filed under the name uncultured bacterium. Its description in RNAcentral is "partial 16S ribosomal RNA". It matches the Rfam family "Bacterial small subunit ribosomal RNA", at positions 30 to 507 of the family's 1533-position model. The record is from RNAcentral.